GACGAACGCUGGCGGCGUGCCUAAUACAUGCAAGUAGAACGCUGAAGGAGGAGCUUGCUCUUCUGGAUGAGUUGCGAACGGGUGAGUAACGCGUAGGUAACCUGCCUGGUAGCGGGGGAUAACUAUUGGAAACGAUAGCUAGUACCGCAUAAGAGUAGAUGUUGCAUGACAUUUACUUAAAAGGUGCAAUUGCAUCACUACCAGAUGGACCUGCGUUGUAUUAGCUAGUUGGUGGGGUAACGGCUUACCAAGGCGACGAUACAUAGCCGACCUGAGAGGGUGAUCGGCCACACUGGGACUGAGACACGGCCCAGACUCCUACGGGAGGCAGCAGUAGGGAAUCUUCGGCAAUGGACGGAAGUCUGACCGAGCAACGCCGCGUGAGUGAAGAAGGUUUUCGGAUCGUAAAGCUCUGUUGCAAGAGAAGAACGAGUGUGAGAGUGGAAAGUUCACACUGUGACGGUAUCUUACCAGAAAGGGACGGCUAACUACGUG
RNAcentral lists this ribosomal RNA (495 nucleotides) under uncultured bacterium. RNAcentral's name for it is "partial 16S ribosomal RNA". It matches the Rfam family "Bacterial small subunit ribosomal RNA", at positions 28 to 507 of the family's 1533-position model. The record is from RNAcentral.